RNAcentral lists this ribosomal RNA (253 nucleotides) under uncultured bacterium. Its description in RNAcentral is "partial 16S ribosomal RNA". It matches the Rfam family "Bacterial small subunit ribosomal RNA", at positions 524 to 776 of the family's 1533-position model. The record is from RNAcentral.
UACGUAGGUGGCAAGCGUUGUCCGGAUUUAUUGGGUUUAAAGGGUGCGUAGGCGGUUUAAUAAGUCAGUGGUGAAAUACGGCAGCUCAACUGUCGAGGUGCCAUUGAUACUGUUGGACUUGAGUACAGACGAGGUAGGCGGAAUUGACGGUGUAGCGGUGAAAUGCUUAGAUAUCGUCAAGAGCACCGAUAGCGAAGGCAGCUUACUAGGCUGUAACUGACGCUGAGGCACGAAAGUGUGGGGAUCAAACAGG